GUGCACCAGUCGCGAAAACUGGCCAAUGCGCGAGAGCGUGAGCCGGCUAAUCCGAGUGAUAGCCCAUCGGCUAUCUUUUGUCAAGUUUUUAACGCUUGGCGAAUAAUGAGAGGGCAAGACUGGUGCCAGCCGCCGCGGUAAAACCAGCUCUUAGAGUGGUGAUCAUGUUUAUUUGGCUUAAAGGGUGCGUAGCAGGACAGCGUAAGUCCUCUGUGAAAUGCUAGGUCUUAAACUUAGCGCGUGCAGGGGAUACUGUGCGUCUUGGGACCGGGAUAGGUGUAAUGUACGCGUUGGGUAGGGGUGAAAUCCGAUAAUCCAACGCGGACAACCGGUGGCGAAGGCGUUACACUGGAACGGGUCCGACUGUGAGGCACGAAAGCUAGGGUCGCGAGCCGGAUUAGAUACCCGUGUAGUCC
This 416-nucleotide ribosomal RNA is filed under the name uncultured euryarchaeote. RNAcentral's name for it is "bacterial SSU rRNA". It matches the Rfam family "Archaeal small subunit ribosomal RNA", at positions 330 to 747 of the family's 1478-position model. Lineage: Archaea; Methanobacteriati; Methanobacteriota. The record is from RNAcentral.